GAUCAUGGCUCAGAUUGAACGCUGGCGGCAGGCCUAACACAUGCAAGUCGAACGGUAACAGGAACAGCUUGCUUGUUUCGCUGACGAGUGGCGGACGGGUGAGUAAUGUCUGGGAAACUGCCUGAUGGAGGGGGAUAACUACUGGAAACGGUAGCUAAUACCGCAUAACGUCGCAAGACCAAAGAGGGGGACCUCGGCCGUCUUGCCAUCGGAGUGUGGCCCACGGAAUGGGAGUUAGCUAGUAGGUGGGGG
Molecule: ribosomal RNA, 252 nt
Filed under: uncultured bacterium
Lineage: Bacteria
Description: partial 16S ribosomal RNA
Rfam family: Bacterial small subunit ribosomal RNA
Source: RNAcentral